AAGAGUUGCACAACUCCCUACAACCAUUGCGAACGUUACCGAACACGUCGUUGCCUCGGCGGGCCCCGCGCCCGCCGGGGGGACGCCCACACAGGCUCUUUGCAGUUACCGGCCUCUCUGAGUUUGAUUUUACCAAAUCAGUCA
Molecule: unclassified non-coding RNA, 144 nt
Filed under: uncultured Podospora
Lineage: Eukaryota; Fungi; Ascomycota; Sordariomycetes; Sordariales; Lasiosphaeriaceae
Description: sequence contains ITS1
Source: RNAcentral